CGUAGGGUGCAAGCGUUAAUCGGAAUUACUGGGCGUAAAGCGUGCGCAGGCGGCUUUGCAAGACAGAUGUGAAAUCCCCGGGCUCAGCCUGGGAACUGCAUUUGUGACUGCAUGGCUCGAGUGCGGCAGAGGGGGAUGGAAUUCCGCGUGUAGCAGUGAAAUGCGUAGAUAUGCGGAGGAAUACCGAUGGCGAAGGCAAUCCCCUGGGCUGCACUGACGCUCAUGCACGAAAGCGUGGGGAGCAAACAGGAUUAGAUACCCUGGUAGUCCACGCCCUAAACGAUGUCAACUGGUUGUUGGACGGCUUGCUGUUCAGUAACGAAGCUAACGCGUGAAGUUGACCGCCUGGGGAGUACGGCCGCAAGGUUG
This 369-nucleotide ribosomal RNA is filed under the name uncultured organism. Its description in RNAcentral is "bacterial SSU rRNA". It matches the Rfam family "Bacterial small subunit ribosomal RNA", at positions 526 to 896 of the family's 1533-position model. The record is from RNAcentral.